UAUGGAAUACGGUCCGGACUGUGAC
This 25-nucleotide non-coding RNA is filed under the name Rattus norvegicus (Norway rat). Lineage: Eukaryota; Metazoa; Chordata; Mammalia; Rodentia; Muridae. The record is from RNAcentral.